Oncorhynchus keta (chum salmon) is the source of this 694-nucleotide long non-coding RNA. RefSeq lists it as uncharacterized. Lineage: Eukaryota; Metazoa; Chordata; Actinopteri; Salmoniformes; Salmonidae. The record is from RefSeq and is a predicted model, not a curated record. The transcript is spliced from 3 exons.
GGACAGACAGGAGGUCAGGAAGGAAGAGGAGAGGAGAGGACAGAGAGGUCAGGAAGGAAGAGGAGAGGAGAGGACAGAGAGGAGGUCAGGAAGGAAGAGGAGAGGACAGAGAGGAGGUCAGGAAGGAAGAGGAGAGGAGAGGACAGAGAGGUCAGGAAGGAAGAGGAGAGGACAGAGAGGUCAGGAAGGAAGAGGAGAGGACAGAGAGGAGGUCAGGGAGGAAGAGGAGAGCACAAAGAGGAGGUCAGGAAGGGGAGAGGACUGAAGAAAUCAGGUAGAGGAGAAGACAGAGAGGUCAGGAAGGAAGAGGACAGAGAGGAGGUCAGUAAGGGAGAGGACAGAGUCGAGGUCAGGAGAGAGCACUCUAGGCCAUAUUUAAAAUGUGUUUAUUCUUUUGGAACUUAUAAGAGUGUAAUGUUUACUGUUAAUUUUUGUUUGUUUGUUUCACUUCACUUUUUUUUGGCAAUGUUAACAUGUGUUUCCCAUGUCAAUAAAGCCCUUAAAUUGAAUUGAGAGAGAGAGCUCUAGGCCAGAGAGGGAGAGGGAGAGCGAGAGAGCUCUAGGCCAGAGAGCGAGAGAGCUCUAGGCCAGAGAGCGAGAGAGCUCUAGGCCAGAGAGCGAGAGAGCUCUAGGCCAGAGCUCUAGGCCAGAGAGCGAGAGAGCUCUAGGCCAGAGAGCGAGAGAGCUCUAGGAG